AAAAUAUGAGCUUAAAGUAGAGAUGCAUCCCACAGAAGUCAUGGCAAGAGUAAAGGAAAUGAGACGUGAACUUGGAGAACUCAGGAAAAUGUGCGACAGACAAGUAUGGCCAUUACCAGAUAUGAAGGGCACAAGGAGAAGACACUGCCAAAGCUGACAACGUAGAAAGAUUCAGGAUCCGGCUGUUUCCUGGAGUCUUAAAGAGGUGAAAGAAGAAAGCCAGCUUUCACUUUAUACCCUGGGAACCUCGUACCAGAGCGAUGUAGCACCCAAGAAGGAAAAUGACAGCUUGACACCGUAGAAAAUAUGGAGUUGAGGCGCAGAAGAGCUCCACUUGUCUUUCACGGCGGUGCUAAUGGCUUCUUCUGUUCCCAGACUCGUGUCUGCCUCUGGGUAAUUGGCAAAGACAGAUGUGCCAUCUAUCAUAAAAAAUUAAAAACACGAGAAGUAAAUGUGAGUUAUAAGUAUGUGAUUAUUAUUUAAAUGAAAUAAACCUUCAAAUUUCAGAAA
Molecule: long non-coding RNA, 510 nt
Organism: Neogale vison (American mink)
Lineage: Eukaryota; Metazoa; Chordata; Mammalia; Carnivora; Mustelidae
Exons: 3
Source: RefSeq, a predicted model, not a curated record